Non-coding RNA from Vicia faba (fava bean), 333 nucleotides. Lineage: Eukaryota; Viridiplantae; Streptophyta; Magnoliopsida; Fabales; Fabaceae. The record is from the annotation of a GenBank genome assembly.
AUGCAAACGACAAUCACAUCUCAUCUGAACUUGAAGCUUGGGAACAACAAGAUCAGCUUCUACUCGCGUGCCACGCAAGUAGGUUGCAAUCCCUCAUUUCUCUCGACAUGCUUCGCCGUGUCAUUGGCUGCAAAAAUUCAUGGACGCUGUGGGAUAAAAUCCAUGCCUACUUUCAGCAGCACACCCCCCAAACAGAACUUCAAAUAUCACUCUUUAGUUUGUAGUCGAGACACUGUAGCUGUGCUGCCAUUGAAACCAUGCAAGCAGUCUCAUAUUGCUGGUUCAUUUGGGAUGAGGAUGAUUCACUCUUUGAAGGAUACUCUUAAAAAAUGA